Molecule: ribosomal RNA, 1041 nt
Filed under: Triticum aestivum (bread wheat)
Lineage: Eukaryota; Viridiplantae; Streptophyta; Magnoliopsida; Poales; Poaceae
Description: partial small subunit ribosomal RNA
Source: RNAcentral
AUGGCGUCUAGCGAGGGAAAUUAUCACCGUAGAGGUCCUUACUUUGAUGGUACUAAUUUUGCUAGUUGGAAGUAUAAGAUGAAAAUACAUAUUCUCGGACAUAACCCCGCCGUUUGGGUAAUUAUUUGUAUUGUCUUGCAAGAUGAAUUCUUUGAUGGGAGAGAUCCGGACUGUGAAGCUAAUGCGGAAGAAUUGAAGAUGCUGCAAUACAACGCUCAAGCUUGUGAUAUCAUCUUCAACGGAUUGUGCCCCGAAGAAUUCAACAAAAUCAUCCGUCUUGAGAAUGCAAAGGAAAUUUGGGAUACUUUGAUUGAUAUGCACGAAGGUACCAAAUCCGUAAAGGAAUCCAAGUUGGAUGUGCUCCAAAGUCAGCUUGACAAGUUCAAAAUGAAGGAUGGUGAAGGUGUCGCUGAAAUGUACUCUAGGCUUGCACUUAUCACAAAUGAGAUUGCCGGCUUAGGGAGUGAAGAGAUGACCGACAUAUUCAUCAUCAAGAAGAUCCUAAGAGCAUUGGAUGGAAAGUAUGAUACCGUGUGCACAUUGAUCCAAAUGAUGCCAAACUACAAAGAUCUCAAGCCAACGGAAGUCAUUGGAAGAAUUGUUGCUCAUGAGAUGUCACUCAAGGAUAAGGAGGAAUUUCACAACAAGUCAAGUGGUGGUUACAAAGCCUCAAGUGAAGCCCCCACAUCAUCAAGUGAGAAACAAACCUUCAAUGAAGAAUUGAGCUUAAUGGUGAAGAACUUCAACAAAUUCUACAAGAGUAGAAGCAAAGAAAGAAGCUCCAAGUCAAGGUCUUACCAUGACAAAAGAUCUUCUAGUCGAGAGCGCAAUUGCUACAAUUGUGGGAGGCCUGGACACUAUUCCAAUGAGUGUACGGCACCCUACAAAAGAAGAGAAGAUUCUCCAAAAAGAAGAAGCAAAAGAGAAGAAUCACCACCGAGAGAGAGGAGGAGUAGAGAUGAUCAUUAUGAACGAAGACCCUCAUGGAGAAGCAAGGAUUCGGAAAGGAAGGACAAGUCAUCAAGGAGCUACACAAAAUGA